This is a long non-coding RNA of Syngnathus acus (greater pipefish), 2334 nucleotides long. RefSeq lists it as uncharacterized. The transcript has 2 exons. NCBI's taxonomy places the organism in Eukaryota, Metazoa, Chordata, Actinopteri, Syngnathiformes, Syngnathidae. The record is from RefSeq and is a predicted model, not a curated record.
CUAAGGACAAUAGAAACAGUUUGUAAAACCACACUGGAGCGUACACUUCCUCCGGAUGUGUAAGAGGAUGCCAUGCAUAACAAAGCCCGCAGUGUCUGCCUGUCUGCUGCCUGCCCCGUACGUUCACAUCGGCCGGAGAGGAGACAGAAAAGCGCUACAACAGGAGAGAGGGAGUGUUGUUGACAGAGGAGGGCAACAGCGUAGAGUCGCCGCCGUCUGGUGAUUGAUGUCAGAGACCUGGCACCGCCACCUGAUCUGGCUGGCCAGCGAGAGCGAACCCGCUGAACUGGCCCGGCCAAAAUGGCCGCCUCGCUGCAAUGCACCCGCUGAACCUCCCCACAGCGCAGUCUGAUAUUUACAACUGCGACGGUACAGCUCCCCAAGGGAUGAAACCACCCAGGGAGAGGGAGAAGGAUGCGGCAAGGGUACGCAAUGGUGGAUUGAACGCUUUGUAUACAUCCAAGGGUGAAUCCAGGGAAGAAUAGUCUCGGUAACGGCGGCUGACUGCGAACCCGGAUGUCUCGUUCGGCCCCACAGAAGGUAUACUCGACAGCCGGGGCGGACAUGAACCUGAGCUUCGGACUUCUCCACCGGGCCAAAGUAGCUUUGUAACUUGCGUUGGCGGAGAGCAGGGGGCAACAUCUCUGCGGCGUCCUUUACGAGCAGGACUUGUGGCUCGCCGCCCGCCGUCCUUCAGACUUUACAGCAUCCAUCCGUCCAAGUUCUCAUAAAGGUCACAGAGCUCUUUCUUUGAAGCAAUGCAUCCCACUCAGCUUGAAUGACGAGAGGAAGGAAGGAAGUCAACAGCGGGCUCUGAAAAGCUCGGUCGUCUGAGGACACGCUGUACUGUGUACCCUGCCUGGGGCGAUGUUCCUCACCACUUCUUUGUUUCCGGGAGGGAUUUUAAUGUGAUGGAUGAGGACUUUUUACACAAUCAUCCAAGAAAAAAAAGAUAAUCAAAGUGAUGUCAUUUUUCCAACGUUUCUAGCAAAUCAUUUUUGAUUGGCAUAGCAGAAGGGUAUAUGUUAGUUGUGAUGAGAGGAAGAAAUGUUGACAUUAAGGCAAGGAUGUUCGUUACAUGACAAGCUGGCAUUUACACAAAUGCUCAAUAAAAGCUAUUUCAAAACGAAUCAAUGUGUUUCUGAAAAUGACAUGGAUACCCCAAGCGCCCCAAGCGUCAGCACAAAUCAUGGCUGACAUUUUUUUACAUUGAACGGGAAUCACUUGGUUUCAAUCAAUUAGGUCCUCGCACCCAAAGUCAUCAGUCAUACUACACGACGACGUCAACUCAACUUAACUCAACUUUAUUUAUCAAGCACAAACGUAGCUGGAGCAGAGAUGAAAUUGACCUCAUUACUGGUGACGCAAAGCCAACACGACCAGCACUUGAUCAAAGUGGCUGCAUGUUCAAUGAAGCUUUGCAAAACACAAGACAUCAAAACUGUCUACGCUCGCUUGAAGGAGGUUAAAGGAGAAGACACAGAAGGACUUUGAAACAGCAAGCCGUGCCUUCAUCACAUCUUGGCUGGAUUAGUGUCAGCCGGUCCUCCCUCAAACAUCUCCAUGGAGCUCCACCCUAUUUAUUAAGUGGCUCUGGCUGGACUAAAUGUAAACAAUGAUAUGAGUCACAGGAAGGUGAUAGAGAUAGUUAAGACCAGCAGCGUAAGCAGUAACUCAUCCUAAAACGGCUUUGUGUGGACUUGGCAAAAACGCAACUGCCUCGGUAUGACAACAACCAGCGGGCUCCCUCGCCACCCAAGUGAGAAACGUCAAGUGUGCAACCUCGGCCGACUGUCUGCUGGAGUGACAGCCGUGGGACGCCCCACAGGAAAAAUAUUUCGACCCGACUCGGACGACUGUCACAGCCGCUGCCCGCCGUGUAUGCGGACGACGGGAGCUUAGAGCGCAUCAGAGGCAUAGGCAUCGUGAACAUUGUUUGCUAGGAAAAAAUGAACCAUAAUAAAAUGAAUGUGAGCUAUAGUUGGGGAAAAUUGAGCUAUUUAAGUGACAGUUGUUUUUGUAAAAUAAAGGCUUACUCGACCACACCAAACCAGUGAAGAAACCGGUCAUGGUUUCAGCAUUGGGGAAAUUUAUCGGUGCCCUCUGCAUGAAAUUUACGAUGAUGUCAUUAUAAAUCUCUGCGGGUCGUAAAUGGUCUCUAUAAAAUGAUGAUUAAGAUGUGUGACCUGCAACUUUAACACUGUCUCUGGAAAAAAAGAAAGCAGAGUGCAAAAUUGUCACUAGAUCUGUUUAACGUCAACACAAGUGUCAACAUGGUUGCUGCUUGAUGAAAACAAAUGCCGUCUAUGUUUUAAUAAACAAGCUGCCGGGCAA